This is a long non-coding RNA of Macadamia integrifolia, 2174 nucleotides long. RefSeq lists it as uncharacterized. The record is from RefSeq and is a predicted model, not a curated record. NCBI's taxonomy places the organism in Eukaryota, Viridiplantae, Streptophyta, Magnoliopsida, Proteales, Proteaceae. The transcript is spliced from 2 exons.
GGUUAGAUAUUUAAACACUUUAAGACCCUGCUGCAUCACUGCGUGCCCUAACCUCAUUCUGCCUCUUUUGCGGUGCCCUAACCUCUCUCCCCUGUAAAAUGGACAGGUGUCAAUCGCCGGAGCAGUCUUCAAGAACGAGACGGACGGCAGCUUGAAGCUCGAUCUCGAUUCUCCUCCCUGCCUCUCUCCCAUAUUGAAAUGCACUAUUUCGCAGUUGUUGAUGACUAGGGGAAACUAAUCACGGAGUUCUCUCCCUUCAGUCUCGCGACCUGCGGCUAUUGCAACACUCUCCACUGGUUUUACCUUUGGGGAGAUCUACGCCUUCCUCCCAUUUGGUCGUUCAUCACUUUGCUUACAAGGAUCCCUACCUUUUUCAUUUGUAGAUCGAGAUCCAUCAGUGCUAUUCCAAGGAUUUGGGACUCCUACCUCCUGAUUCUCUGAGGAUCGAGCUGCAUUGCGGAGCUGAAUUUCAGGUAGCCCAUUACUUCAUUAAAACCGGUGAGUUUUUAUUUUUUUUUAAAUCAAAAAUUUAUUCUUAACUUCAUCACUGUUCCAGAAUAACGAACUCUAUCUUCUGAAAAAUCCUUUUUUUUUUUUUUUUUUUUCUGAAAUCAUUGUCCAUCUUGCAUUCUGGCUUUGUGGAACUUAUAAGAAAUUUGAGUGCGCCCAUUCUGCUUUUGCCAUCAUCUUCUUCAGUCCCGAAUUCCCGAUCAAGGUUUUAAAACUCGGGAUCGGUCUCAAACGAUUCCGGUCAGGAUCGGACGGAUCCAACUUACCAGUGGAUCGGUAUCAGAUCGAUCAGGAUCAGAGAUCGGUCUUGGCCGAUACUAAUCCGAUCCGAUUUUUAAAACUAGGGUAGGCCUGUAACGGACUGACCAUUUAGCGAUCGGUCUUGGCCCUUGGGUUUAGCCAGUGCUGACCGAUUAGAUAAACGGUUGGUCUGAUAUCAGUCCUGGGCUCCUGGCCUUAGUUGUGCAGACCAAUUAAGGGCCUGCCAACCAAGGAUUUAGGUAUCGGUCUCUGCCGAUGCCAAUCCGGAUCGGAUGGGAUCGGUGAGUAUCGGUCUAUUUUACCCUUGCUUUUUAUGAAAAUACUAAUUUUUCCUAUUUUACCCUUGAAACGAUAAUCCGGAUGGGGGAUCGGUCUCAGCCGACACCGAUCCAAUACAACCUAUGCUUGAAACCAUGCUACCAACACAAGUUAACACAGUUGACACCCCUAGCCUCAACCAUGGGUGAUUCGGAAGGCAAUUUCAUGGUUGAAAAGUAUCAAGGGGUAUUUUGGUGAUCGUACUUAGCAAUUCUGCAAGGGUAUAGAUUUGAAACCUUGCUUGUAUUAUAGAUUUGACCAUCUUUAAUAAUCAUUAGACUUCUAACUAUUAUAAUAAUAAUAGUAAAAAUAAUCAGACAUGUUACUCUAUUGUUGGGUCCUAUAACUCAUCAUUAUCGUAUCACAUCAUGAGAAUAGGUGUUUAUAUACUUUUAUAUAUAUAUAUAUAUAUAUAUAUGUAUGUGCCAGUGGAGAAGUAAUUUUUAAGGUCCCUUAUUCACAUAUCAAGUUUCAGUUCAAGUAGAAUUUGCUAAGUGACAAAAUAAAGCAUUGAAAUAUCAAGACACAUCUAUUAGUACUUUGGCAACUAUUAGAAUUUUAAUGAUUUUUUAAUGUCUUGUUUUGUCACUUAUUAAAUUCUAUUUGGGUUGAAAUUUGACAUGUGAGCAAGGGACCUUGGAGUAUACUUAUUUAAAAUGCUUUAGCCUCAUCUGACUUGCCACAUGGUGUACCAUGUCCAUAGAGAGAAAUUUUUGCACUUCUUAAAUUCAAACAUGGGAGAGUGUGCUCUAAGCAAGCUACAUAGGGAGUGCACCAAUGAGGAGCAAUGAAAUGUUUUCAUACAUAGGGGGUAGAAAGGUCAUUUCAUGUAAGGAGAGAGAGAGAGAGAGAGAGAAUGGGUGCUAGUGUACAUUCCACUACCAGCUAAGAGAACUUUUUCCCUUCAAAUUUUUAUGCUUUCAAUUUUUUCGGGGUUAUGUUUGGUAUAACCACAGUUGGUUAUAUCGAGCACAACUUCUCCUUGGGGUGCCCCAACUCCAAACUCAUUUGGAGAAUGAAUUGGACUCUUGUGUUGAUGAUCUACUAGUUGAUUCAAGAUUUGGGUGAUUGACCACAUUUAACUA